UGCCCGACUACUGACCAGAACUCACUGGUGGCUCUCCCAUUCAUCUCGCCGACACCACCCCUCCUUUGGGGACACCUGGACCUGCCAAGGCUGGACCCCGGCAAAGUAGAGAAAGCUGAGGAGGAAAUAAAGUGAAGUGCAAAAGAAGAAAAAGCACAAACGAACCAGCACUUCGAUGACCCUCUCGGUGAGCCUGCUGUAAUUCGGUAGCAGGACAUAGAUGGUCGGCCACGAGAUGACUUUGAUUUAAGCAAAACCAGGACAAGGAGAUAAGUGACAUUUUAGCCCCAGCCCUUUUCAUUAAUGAUUUGGCCUUAACUCAGUGAACCAUAUGAGUGAAUAUGAACCAUAUGAGCGAACCAUAUUAGGUGAAUCAUAUGAGUGAACUAAGAAAUACAGCAGCUGUCCAAUAAAUGCAGCCAGGACAACUGGGUCAUCAGCUGUUUUUAAACUUUUGGAAACAAGCAGGGGUGAAAAAUGUCCUUUUGAUGCAGUAUUAAGGGAGACAAGAUAUCCUUUUUAUCUAAGCGGUCAGAGAAAUAUAGGAGAAAAGGACUUAAAUUAUCAAUAUGGUGUGAGUUUUGGUGAGUAACUUGAAAAUUUUUCUUUUUCUGUCUUUAGGUUCCUCAGUUUGCAAAGCUAUAUUCUCAUAUUAAAGAAGCAUAAGAUUAACCAUUGUUCUUUUAUCUUGUGGGGUAUUUAAUUCAUGAGUAGUUAUUAAUUAGUAAAAACAAAAAAUCCAAAAAUACAAAAUAAGCCCAAACAAAACC
This is a long non-coding RNA of Mustela erminea (ermine), 770 nucleotides long. RefSeq lists it as uncharacterized. The transcript is spliced from 6 exons. The record is from RefSeq and is a predicted model, not a curated record. NCBI's taxonomy places the organism in Eukaryota, Metazoa, Chordata, Mammalia, Carnivora, Mustelidae.